This is a long non-coding RNA of Pogoniulus pusillus (Red-fronted tinkerbird), 386 nucleotides long. RefSeq lists it as uncharacterized. The transcript is spliced from 3 exons. The record is from RefSeq and is a predicted model, not a curated record. Lineage: Eukaryota; Metazoa; Chordata; Aves; Piciformes; Lybiidae.
UUCCUGGGGUAUCUCUAAGCAUGUGGUGCAGACGACAGAAGAGUGCCAAAUACUUCCUUACACCCUUGAAAUGAAGAUGAUGUGAAAAAGAAAUACAGCCUAUAACUAUUGGAAGUGCUGAGGCUAAAACUGAAUCCAUCAAAUACCUUCUUGGGUGGGAAGAGCAAAGUCACUGCAUCCUCGGGAGAGAGAUGAGGAGGGAUUGCUUCAUGCUGGAGACAUGGCAGAGGUGGAGGAAGCCUGGGUCUUGCUGUAGCAUGCUCUCUGUUAUACUGUGGAUCGUUGCACCCCAAAGAAAGCAAAGGGGAGGCUUGUGCUGCUUCAAAUAAAAGAGCACACAGCCACCACCUUUCAGCCAAGACCACACCUAUUUAUGAAAUAAGGAC